RNAcentral lists this ribosomal RNA (689 nucleotides) under uncultured bacterium. RNAcentral describes it as "bacterial SSU rRNA". It matches the Rfam family "Bacterial small subunit ribosomal RNA", at positions 182 to 871 of the family's 1533-position model. The record is from RNAcentral.
GGCCCCGCAUGGGGGUAUUUGCUAAAGAUUCAUCGCUGAUAGAUAGGCUAUGCGUUCCAUUAGGCAGUUGGCGGGGUAACGGCCCACCAAACCGACGAUGGAUGGGGGUUCUGAGAGGAAGGUCCCCCACAUUGGUACUGAGACACGGACCAAACUCCUACGGGAGGCAGCAGUGAGGAAUAUUGGUCAAUGGCCGAGAGGCUGAACCAGCCAAGUCGCGUGAGGGAUGAAGGUUCUAUGGAUCGUAAACCUCUUUUAUAAGGGAAUAAAGUGCGGGACGUGUCCCGUUUUGUAUGUACCUUAUGAAUAAGGAUCGGCUAACUCCGUGCCAGCAGCCGCGGUAAUACGGAGGAUCCGAGCGUUAUCCGGAUUUAUUGGGUUUAAAGGGUGCGUAGGCGGCCUUUUAAGUCAGCGGUGAAAGUCUGUGGCUCAACCAUAGAAUUGCCGUUGAAACUGGGGGGCUUGAGUAUGUUUGAGGCAGGCGGAAUGCGUGGUGUAGCGGUGAAAUGCUUAGAUAUCACGCAGAACCCCGAUUGCGAAGGCAGCCUGCCAAGCCAUGACUGACGCUGAUGCACGAAAGCGUGGGGAUCAAACAGGAUUAGAUACCCUGGUAGUCCACGCAGUAAACGAUGAUCACUAGCUGUUUGCGAUACAUUGUAAGCGGCACAGCGAAAGCGUUAAGUGAUCCA